AACAGGAUUAGAUACCCUGGUAGUCCACGCUGUAAACGAUGUCGACUUGGAGGUUGUGCCCUUGAGGCGUGGCUUCCGGAGCUAACGCGUUAAGCCGACCGCCUGGGGAGUACGGCCGCAAGGUUAAAACUCAAAUGAAUUGACGGGGGCCCGCACAAGCGGUGGAGCAUGUGGUUUGAUUCGAUGCAACGCGAAGAACCUUACCUACUCUUGACAUCCAGAGAAUUUGCUAGAGAUAGCUUAGUGCCUUCGGGAACUCUGAGACAGGUGCUGCAUGGCCGUCGUCAGCUCGUGUUGUGAAAUGUUGGGUUAAGUCCCGCAACGAGCGCAACCCUUAUCCUUUGUUGCCAGCACGUAAUGGUGGGAACUCAAAGGAGACUGCCGGUGAUAAACCGGAGGAAGGUGGGGAUGACGUCAAGUCGUCAUGGCCCUUACGAGUAGGGCCACACACGUGCUACAAUGGCAUAUACAAAGAGAAGCGACCUCGCGAGAGCAAGCGGACCUUAUAAAGUAUGUCGUAGUCCGGAUUGGAGUCUGCAACUCGACUCCAUGAGGUCGGAAUCGCUAGUAAUCGUGGAUCAGAAUGCCACGGUGAAUACGUUCCCGGGCCUUGUACACACCGCCCGUCACACCAUGGGAGUGGGUUGCAAAAGAAGUAGGUAGCUUAACCUUCGGGAGGGCGCUCACCACUUUGUGAUUCAUGACUGGGGUGAAGUCGUAACAAGGUAACC
Molecule: ribosomal RNA, 731 nt
Filed under: uncultured bacterium
Lineage: Bacteria
Description: bacterial SSU rRNA
Rfam family: Bacterial small subunit ribosomal RNA
Source: RNAcentral